CCUUUUCCAAACCGCAUCAGUGUGUUCGAGAAGACUGUGCGGAGUUAUGCUGAGAACACAACCGACAAUGUUAUCACACCAGUUAUCGGCACAACAUUCGACUCGGUGGGUGAAGCGUAUGACUUCUACAGUUUGUACUCAUGGGAGAAGGGAUUUGGCAUUCGUUAUGGGAAGAGUGGGAUCAAUGUGGAGAGGACCAAAUGCAUGCAGGAAAUAGCUUGUGGUUGCUCGGUGAGUGUGAGAAAAUUUAUUUUUUGUGCUGGGACAUAA
This 270-nucleotide ribosomal RNA is filed under the name Triticum aestivum (bread wheat). RNAcentral's name for it is "partial small subunit ribosomal RNA". Lineage: Eukaryota; Viridiplantae; Streptophyta; Magnoliopsida; Poales; Poaceae. The record is from RNAcentral.